RNAcentral lists this ribosomal RNA (396 nucleotides) under uncultured bacterium. Its description in RNAcentral is "bacterial SSU rRNA". It matches the Rfam family "Bacterial small subunit ribosomal RNA", at positions 362 to 758 of the family's 1533-position model. The record is from RNAcentral.
UUGACGUGGGGGCACCCUGACCGCAAUGCCGCGUGAGUGAAGAAGGCCUUCGGGUUGUAAAGCUCUUUUGUCAGGGAAGAAACACCGGCUCUAACACAGUCCGGGAAUGACGGUACCUGAAGAAUAAGCACCGGCUAACUACGUGCCAGCAGCCGCGGUAAUACGUAGGGUGCAAGCGUUAAUCGGAAUUACUGGGCGUAAAGCGUGCGCAGGCGGUUAUACAAGACAGGCGUGAAAUCCCCGGGCUUAACCUGGGAAUGGCGCCUGUGACUGUAUAGCUAGAGUGUGUCAGAGGGGGGUAGAAUUCCACGCGUAGCAGUGAAAUGCGUAGAUAUGUGGAGGAAUACCAAUGGCGAAGGCAGCCCCCUGGGAUAACACUGACGCUCAUGCACGAAA